Passer domesticus (house sparrow) is the source of this 261-nucleotide long non-coding RNA. RefSeq lists it as uncharacterized. The transcript has 2 exons. Lineage: Eukaryota; Metazoa; Chordata; Aves; Passeriformes; Passeridae. The record is from RefSeq and is a predicted model, not a curated record.
UGUCAUGCCUGAUCAAAUCACUGCCCAGUGAGUUCAAGAACUCUGCUCAAUAUCCCACCAAUACAGGGCAAGGCAGACAGAAACACAGGCAUGUGCCCCGUGAAGGAUGGGAAGUUGCAGUGCACAGAUACUCCCUUUCCAGCCCCUCCAGGUCACAUUUUCAGCUCCUGAAGCAAAAAAUCACUGGCAGCUCCAGUGACAUUGCUCCCAACAAAUCAAAGGAAGAAAAGAGCAAAACUAAUAAAGAGGUCAAAUAUCAGC